This 468-nucleotide ribosomal RNA is filed under the name uncultured bacterium. RNAcentral describes it as "partial 16S ribosomal RNA". It matches the Rfam family "Bacterial small subunit ribosomal RNA", at positions 28 to 507 of the family's 1533-position model. The record is from RNAcentral.
GACGAACGCUGGCGGCGUGCUUAACACAUGCAAGUCGAACGGAAAGGCUCUGCUUGUUUGGGGUUCUCGAGUGGCGAACGGGUGAGUAACACGUGAGUAACCUGCCCUUGACUUUGGUAUAACUUCAGGAAACUGGGGCUAAUCCCGUAUAGGAUCUCCUGCUGCAUUGUGGGGGUUGGAAAGUUUCGGCGGUUGGGGUUGGACUCGCGGCUUAUCAGCUUGUUGGUUGGGUAGUUGCUUACCAAGGCUUUGGAGGGUAGCCGGCCUGAGAGGGUGAACGGCCACAUUGGGACUGAGAUAGGGCCCAGACUCGUACGGGAGGCAGCAGUGGGGAAUAUUGCACAAUGGGCGGAAGCCUGAUGAAGAAACGCCGCGUGCGGGAUGACGGCCUUCGGGUUGUAAACCGCUUUCGCCUGUGACGAAGCGUGAGUGACGGUAAUGGGUAAAGAAGCACCGGCUAACUACGUG